GGAGGGAUCGCAUAGUUGGUCUAGUGCGGCCGCCUGCUAAGCGGUUAAGGGGGCCUAAACCUCCUUCACGGGUUCGAAUCCCGUUCCCUCCG
This 92-nucleotide transfer RNA is filed under the name Chloroflexota bacterium. RNAcentral's name for it is "Chloroflexi bacterium (groundwater metagenome) tRNA-Ser". It matches the Rfam family "tRNA". Rfam says of the family: Transfer RNA (tRNA) molecules are approximately 80 nucleotides in length. Their secondary structure includes four short double-helical elements and three loops (D, anti-codon, and T loops). Lineage: Bacteria; Bacillati; Chloroflexota. The record is from RNAcentral.